This 544-nucleotide ribosomal RNA is filed under the name uncultured bacterium. RNAcentral's name for it is "bacterial SSU rRNA". It matches the Rfam family "Bacterial small subunit ribosomal RNA", at positions 8 to 596 of the family's 1533-position model. The record is from RNAcentral.
AGAGUUUGAUCAUGGCUCAGAGCGAACGCUGGCGGCAUGCUUAACACAUGCAAGUCGCACGGGCAUUUCGGUGUCAGUGGCGGACGGGUGAGUAACGCGUAGGUAUCUAUCCUUGGGUGGGGGAUAACGGCUGGAAACGGCUGCUAAUACCGCAUGAUAACUGAGGUUCAAAGGCGCAAGUCGCCUGGGGAGGAGCCUGCGUACGAUUAGCUAGUUGGUGGGGUAAAGGCCUACCAAGGCUGCGAUCGUUAGCUGGUCUGAGAGGAUGAUCAGCCACAUUGGGACUGAGACACGGCCCAAACUCCUACGGGAGGCAGCAGUGGGGAAUAUUGGACAAUGGGCGAAAGCCUGAUCCAGCAAUGCCGCGUGUGUGAAGAAGGUCUUCGGAUUGUAAAGCACUUUCGACGGGGACGAUGAUGACGGUACCCGUAGAAGAAGCCCCGGCUAACUUCGUGCCAGCAGCCGCGGUAAUACGAAGGGGGCUAGCGUUGCUCGGAAUGACUGGGCGUAAAGGGCGCGUAGGCGGAUGGCACAGUCAGAUGUG